Non-coding RNA from Danio rerio (zebrafish), 440 nucleotides. The record is from RefSeq and is a predicted model, not a curated record. NCBI's taxonomy places the organism in Eukaryota, Metazoa, Chordata, Actinopteri, Cypriniformes, Danionidae.
AAAUAAAUAUGUACCAUGUUAAUAGUUUAUUAUUAAAUCCUGCUUUAAUGGGAGUGCAGUUCCUGCUAGUUCGCCGGUGGCGCUAUUGCGCACAGAGUCUGUGUAUAGACUGCAGCAGAGUUAGGGAGAACUGCUGUGGAUGUGGAUGCUAAGUUAAACCGUGUUGAUCUCACUGUUACUGCUCUGUGUGCAGGGCAAAAUAAAAUCCUCCUCAUCCGAGUCCAGUGUGUGUGUAUUGCUGAAGGGUGAAUGAAGUGGGUUCGGGAGUGAAGUAUAAAGGUCAUAUUGGUGCCGUGACUCAGGACUUCAAUCAAGGUGGUCGAAGAUCAUCCAAACAUCGAACCGGUGGGCAAGUCUUCAUCCUUCACUGCACAAGCCAGCAGCUAAGCUUUUUAUUAGUUAAUCCAGGACUUUAUAUCAAGGACUUUAAACAACAAACG